This 805-nucleotide ribosomal RNA is filed under the name uncultured eukaryote. Its description in RNAcentral is "bacterial SSU rRNA". It matches the Rfam family "Eukaryotic small subunit ribosomal RNA", at positions 50 to 868 of the family's 1831-position model. The record is from RNAcentral.
CAUGCAUGUCUAAGUAUAAAUGGAUUAUACAGUGAAACUGCGAAUGGCUCAUUAAAUCAGUUAUAGUUUAUUUGAUAAUAUCUCUUACUUGGAUAACCGUAAUAAUUUUAGAGCUAAUACAUGCGUAAAAGGACGACUUUUUGGAAGUCCUGUAUUUAUUAGAUACAAAACCAAUCGUGCUUGCACGCUUCCUUGGUGAUUCAUAAUAACUAAACGAAUCGCAUGACUUUAUGUCGGCGAUGAUUCAUAUAAGUUUCUGCCCUAUCAACUUUCGAUGGUAAGGUAUUGGCUUACCAUGGUUACAACGGGUGACGGAGAAUUAGGGUUCGAUUCCGGAGAGGGAGCCUGAGAAACGGCUACCACUUCUACGGAGGGCAGCAGGCGCGCAAAUUACCCAAUCCUGACUCAGGGAGGUAGUGACGAAUAAUAACGAUACGUGACUUCGGUCUAGUAAUUGGAAUGAGUACAAUUUAAACCCCUUAAUGAAAGCCAUUGGAGGGCAAGUCUGGUGCCAGCAGCCGCGGUAAUUCCAGCUCCAAUAGCGUAUAUUAAAGUUGUUGCAGUUAAAAAGCUCGUAGUCGGAUUUUGAGUUUUCUAAGCUUGGUCUACUAUUUAGUAGUACUGACUUAGUGGCUCUUCUUCUCGAGGCCUAUGGGUGCACUUAACCGUGUGUUCAUAGUGUUCGGGACUUUUACCGUGAGAAAAUUAGAGUGUUCAUAGCAGGCUUUUGCUUGAAUAUUGCAGCAUGGAAUAAUGGAAUAGGAUCAUGAUCUUAUUUUGUUGGUUUCUAAGAUCAAGAUAAUGA